RNAcentral lists this ribosomal RNA (645 nucleotides) under uncultured Lachnospiraceae bacterium. RNAcentral's name for it is "bacterial SSU rRNA". It matches the Rfam family "Bacterial small subunit ribosomal RNA", at positions 82 to 743 of the family's 1533-position model. The record is from RNAcentral. Lineage: Bacteria; Bacillati; Bacillota; Clostridia; Lachnospirales; Lachnospiraceae.
CUCUUCAAAUCGAGUGGCGAACGGGUGAGUAACGCGUGAGGAACCUGCCUCAAAGAGGGGGACAACAGUUGGAAACGACUGCUAAUACCGCAUAAGCCCACGGCUCGGCAUCGAGCAGAGGGAAAAGGAGCAAUCCACUUUGAGAUGGCCUCGCGUCCGAUUAGCUAGUUGGUGAGGUAACGGCCCACCAAGGCGACGAUCGGUAGCCGGACUGAGAGGUUGAACGGCCACAUUGGGACUGAGACACGGCCCAGACUCCUACGGGAGGCAGCAGUGGGGAAUAUUGCACAAUGGGGGAAACCCUGAUGCAGCGACGCCGCGUGGAGGAAGAAGGUCUUCGGAUUGUAAACUCCUGUUGUUGAGGAAGAUAAUGACGGUACUCAACAAGGAAGUGACGGCUAACUACGUGCCAGCAGCCGCGGUAAAACGUAGGUCACAAGCGUUGUCCGGAAUUACUGGGUGUAAAGGGAGCGCAGGCGGGAGAACAAGUUGGAAGUGAAAUCCAUGGGCUCAACCCAUGAACUGCUUUCAAAACUGUUUUUCUUGAGUAGUGCAGAGGUAGGCGGAAUUCCCGGUGUAGCGGUGGAAUGCGUAGAUAUCGGGAGGAACACCAGUGGCGAAGGCGGCCUACUGGGCACCAACUGA